Molecule: ribosomal RNA, 292 nt
Filed under: uncultured eukaryote
Lineage: Eukaryota
Description: partial 18S ribosomal RNA
Rfam family: Eukaryotic small subunit ribosomal RNA
Source: RNAcentral
GGUUGAUCCUGCCAGUAUUAUAUGCUGAUGUUAAAGAUUAAGCCAUGCAUGUGUAAGUUUAAAGACCAAGUAGGAUGAAACUGCGGACGGCUCAUUAUAACAGUAAUAGUUUCUUUGGUUAGUAUUUACAAGGAUAACUUUGUGAAUGAUAAAGCUAAUACUUGAGACGAUCCGGGAAGUAUUUAUACUUUUCGGCCCUCGGUUGCAAGGCCGGGGUUGAACGACAUUCUCUUGUGAAAAAGGAUGCCGCGACAAUUGAGGAAAGCGACGCUUUUAACAAGUAACCAAUGGG